AAAUUUGCGGGCCCAGUACCAAAGCACCCAACCGGCCCUAAAGCAAAAUAACCCCAGCCCGAAUGGCCCAAAAUCAGGCCAAACUUCAGCAGGAGAACCCUAGGGCGCUGCACGCCGUCUGCCCAGCCCCAGCACCAAUUCGCGCACGCCACCGCCACUGCCGUUGUUCUCCAAUCAAUCGCCAAUUUCGUGUCUGCCUCAUCACAUCAUCGCCUGCAAAGAAAAAUAAAGAAACAAGAACAAAGCAAAAGGAACAAAACAAUACAAUCCAACAUGCAAAAUGACAAACGAACAAUCCAAGGCACAAAACGUCGAAAUAGAAAUUUAGGGAUUUUUUAAAUCGGUUAUAUAAACCGAAUUCGGACUGUAACGCCGGUCUUCUU
Molecule: long non-coding RNA, 383 nt
Filed under: Gossypium raimondii (Peruvian cotton)
Lineage: Eukaryota; Viridiplantae; Streptophyta; Magnoliopsida; Malvales; Malvaceae
Description: long non-coding RNA (GRAI_LNC009687)
Source: RNAcentral